RNAcentral lists this ribosomal RNA (253 nucleotides) under uncultured bacterium. RNAcentral describes it as "partial 16S ribosomal RNA". It matches the Rfam family "Bacterial small subunit ribosomal RNA", at positions 524 to 776 of the family's 1533-position model. The record is from RNAcentral.
CACGGGGGGAGCAAGCGUUGUUCGGAAUUACUGGGCGUAAAGGGCGUGUAGGCGGUCAGGUAAGUGGGAUGUGAAAUCCUCCGGCUCACCCGGAGACCUGCAUCCCAAACUGUCUGGCUUGAGUAUGGGAGAGGAUGAGGGAAUUCCUGGUGUAGCGGUGAAAUGCGUAGAUAUCAGGAGGAACACCGGUGGCGAAAGCACUCAUCUGGCCCAAUACUGACGCUGAGGCGCGAAAGCUAGGGGAGCAAACGGG